UUGACUAUUAAUAGUCCGCAAAAUAUAUUAGUCGUGUAACUGACAUUGAACCAGAUCGUUUUGUUGUUAAAAAAAUUAUUUGGAUCGUUCGGAAGUGGUAUUUUUUUUUUUUAUUAUUUUACAGCGAACCAUUGAUUCUGUGGGAAGAAUGCAUUCCAUGAUGGCAGACUGACGAGGCCUUUCGGAGCUGGGCCGAAGUUCUUCCAUCUCGUGUGGCCUUCCGAGUUCAACCAAUUUUAAUGAUUCCAAAAUAUACAAUUUUUUGCGUCUUCUUCAUGGGUGCGGCAUCCCUGAUAUUAUUUUCAUCAAACUUUUUUAUAUCGAUGUAUUCUCGGAUGUAUUCUCCCGUUUGAGUUGAAAAUUGAAAAAUAAAAUAAAG
Molecule: long non-coding RNA, 379 nt
Organism: Armigeres subalbatus
Lineage: Eukaryota; Metazoa; Arthropoda; Insecta; Diptera; Culicidae
Exons: 3
Source: RefSeq, a predicted model, not a curated record